UGCUCGCUUUGGCAGCAAUAUACUAAAAUUGGAAGGAUACGGAGAAAAUUAGCAUGGCCCCUGCACAAGAAUGACAAGCAAAUUCAAAAAACGUUCCAUAUUUUU
Mus musculus (house mouse) is the source of this 105-nucleotide non-coding RNA. The record is from Rfam. Lineage: Eukaryota; Metazoa; Chordata; Mammalia; Rodentia; Muridae.